RNAcentral lists this long non-coding RNA (2129 nucleotides) under Macaca mulatta (Rhesus monkey). Its description in RNAcentral is "lncRNA (ENSMMUG00000059703.1)". The record is from RNAcentral. Lineage: Eukaryota; Metazoa; Chordata; Mammalia; Primates; Cercopithecidae.
AUGCUCAGAGAACAUCAUCCAGCUCCUGGAGGGGUUCAUCCAUCAUGGAGUCUGGCAGAUGGCUUGGCGUGCUUGGCAUUUCAAAUUUAUACUAACGGAAAGCAUCGAAGUACUUGGAGGGAGUCCAGGUGUCUAUACUUCUCUGUAUGUUGGCUUCAUCCUGAGGCUGGUGAGAUGUCUGUAGAUAUAUGGUCUCAUAUCCAUGCAUGGCAGUGUUCCAGCAAAGAUUGCCGGAGGCCGGAAAGUAAGACAAAUAACAGCUCACCUGCCUGGGUUAUUGGAGCAACAAGAAACUUUCAGAGCAAUCCUCCAUUUGCCAGGUAAGAAAAUGGCAUUAACAGCUGGAAAGUUUAAUAUGUUGGUGAAGGACCAGGGAAAAGAAAACUGCCAGCUCCCUAUAUCAACCACAGAGUUAAAGUUUGUGCUUUUCUUUUUUUUUCAAAGUUUCCUUGAUAAUUAGACUUAUCAAUACAACAGAUUUCUGUGUCCAUAAUGCGUAAGGUUAAGUAAGGUAUGUCGGUAUGUUGAGUAAGAUCACCACUUGAAUGACCAGAGUGAUUGUUGCAAGGUACAACAUAUAAUGAACAGAGUGGUAAAUUAAGAAAUUCUUAAUUUGUACAUUCUGGCCCAGGAAAAAGAAAUGCUGAGAUUAUCUUAGAUUGUGUUUAGAUAACUGUUUUGUAUUUCAAAAUACUUGCAGAAUCAUCUCAUUUUAGCUUUAUAAUCUAGACUUUUUCUAUACAUAUUUUUUCUAUUUCAGAAUACUGACAAAUAUUGCUUUAACAAACUUUAGCCUGACUCCUGCAGCUUCUCUUAUAUCAAUGUGUGCACUUCCUUGUAAAAUCCAAUUUCAGCAAGAACUCUGCUAAAUCAUUUUAACCAGAACCUCCCACCCUUGAUACUGGAUCACCUCGAUAUCUUAUCAGGUUCCUCAUCUUCCACUAUCCCCCAGGGGAUGUGUGGUCACCUUGGCCUGUCUUCAGCAAGAACCCCAGUAAGUCAGUUUAGCCAGAGUUCCCCUUACCCCUGAUACUUCCUCUGAGUAAUUUUCCACCCACUGACCCGCCCCCCACCCAUUCUUUGCCUAUAAGCUCCCAUUUGCCACACUGUAUUAGGAUUUGAGCCCAAUCUCUCUCCCUCACUGCAAAAUCCCAUUGGAGUGGCCCCUGUACCAAACAUGAUGGUCCUGAAUAAAGUCUUUCUUCCUCUUUUGUAACAAGUAUUACUGAGUCAUUUUUCCUUUAAUAAUACCAGUGGUUUCUAAAUAAUUCUGAACAAGUAGGCUCUGUUAAGUGGUGAUUUUCAAGGACAGGGGAAGGAUAAUACGCUCCUUUUGGGGGAAGAUUAGCUUGAACAUCCCUAUCACUUUAUCUGUGGGGCAAUAAUACAAAUAGAGACCCCUAUUUUCUAUGAUUAAAAUUUUAAAAGUUGUCAAACAUGUUAUUUGUUAAAUACAAUAUGCUUUGCUCUCAUAUGUUGCCAAAUAUACCUUCAUAAUGUAUUGAUAAAAUAUUUGUGAAAAUACAUGGUCUUACUUAAUAUGAUCAAAAGCCAGGAAACUAAAAAAACCACUGAAUAUAUUUAUUAUCUUUCUAUAGGAUGGUGAUUGAGGAAGAAGACAUACAUAAUUCAUAAAUUAUUAUAAAUGCAUUUCUUGAAGUGUUUUUCCUUGAGUAAAUAUCAGCAAAAUUAUGUCUUACAGAGUUACGAUAAAAAUUUUCACAUAACUUGUGGAUUAUCAGUGGAAAUGGCAAGUUAUGCAAAAUUUCCUAAGUUAUUGUGGUUCUUGGGUAAUUUUCAUUAAUUUCAAUUUGGAAAUAUUUUGAUCUGCUAAGCAGUAGCAACUGGAAUUGUCAAUAAGACAUCUAAUGCAAUACUCUGGAAAUAAGUUAAAAUGAUUUAUUUAUUCAAAAUGAUUUUAUAAUGCAGGUUCAAAAAAGUGAUGAGAUCAAAUAUGACAUAUCACCAUAACCAAAUAAACUGUAGACAAAUAAAAUACAAAUUAUUUUAAUUUUUUGUAUAUUUUUAUUACUUACAUUGUGAUGUUUUACUACUUCCUAAAUUAAUAGAUAAAUCAAUAUAAUAUUCCUUAUGUUCUCAUUCUUUAAAAUACUUCAAUGCUGUAAAAU